This 342-nucleotide ribosomal RNA is filed under the name uncultured Burkholderia sp. RNAcentral describes it as "bacterial SSU rRNA". It matches the Rfam family "Bacterial small subunit ribosomal RNA", at positions 1036 to 1382 of the family's 1533-position model. Lineage: Bacteria; Pseudomonadati; Pseudomonadota; Betaproteobacteria; Burkholderiales; Burkholderiaceae. The record is from RNAcentral.
AGGUGCUGCAGUGGCUGUCGUUAGCUCGUGUCGUGAGAUGGUUGGGUUAAGUCCCGCAACGAGCGCAACCCUUGUCCUUAGUUGCUACGCAAGAGCACUCUAAGGAGACUGCCGGUGACAAACCGGAGGAAGGUGGGGAUGACGUCAAGUCCUCAUGGCCCUUAUGGGUAGGGCUUCACACGUCAUACAAUGGUCGGAACAGAGGGUUGCCAACCCGCGAGGGGGAGCUAAUCCCAGAAAACCGAUCGUAGUCCGGAUUGCACUCUGCAACUCGAGUGCAUGAAGCUGGAAUCGCUAGUAAUCGCGGAUCAGCAUGCCGCGGUGAAUACGUUCCCGGGUCUU